GAUGAACGCUGGCGGCGUGCCUAAUACAUGCAAGUCGAACGGACAGGCGCUGCGUUUGCUGGGCGGACGUUAGCGGAACAGGGGUGUAAAACACGAGUAUACCCUCCCUGUAUGUGGGGGAAAAUUACGGGAAACGGGCGCUAAUCCCGGAGAAGAUCCUGCUGCGCAGUGUUGGAUAGAAAAAGUCGGCGGUUGGGGCUGGACUCGCGGGUUAUCCGCUUGUUUGGGGGGUUGUGGCUUACCAAGCUUUUGACGGGUAGCCGGCCUGGGAGAGUGACCGGCCACAUUGGGACUGAGAGACGGACCAGACUCCUACGGGAGGCAGCAGUGGGGAAUAUUGCACAAUGGGCGGAAGCCUGAUGCAGCAACGCCGCGUGCGGGAUGACGGCCUUCGGGUUGUAAACCGCUUUCGCCUGUGACGAAGCGUGAGUGACGGUAAUGGGUAAAGAAGCACCGGCUAACUACGUG
RNAcentral lists this ribosomal RNA (468 nucleotides) under uncultured bacterium. RNAcentral describes it as "partial 16S ribosomal RNA". It matches the Rfam family "Bacterial small subunit ribosomal RNA", at positions 28 to 507 of the family's 1533-position model. The record is from RNAcentral.